Choloepus didactylus (southern two-toed sloth) is the source of this 1106-nucleotide long non-coding RNA. RefSeq lists it as uncharacterized. Lineage: Eukaryota; Metazoa; Chordata; Mammalia; Pilosa; Megalonychidae. The transcript is spliced from 4 exons. The record is from RefSeq and is a predicted model, not a curated record.
CCCGGUUCUGACUCCAGCCUCCCUCCUCCGCGCGCCCUCUUUCCAGGUCCACGUCCCUACCGUCCGGCCCCCAGCCCAGCUCGCAGGUAGCAGACAGUGGCGGCCGCUCUCAGGUCCAGUCUCUGACGCUGGAGAACCGAAGGAGCCGCCCGCAGCCUUAGAAAGCCAGAAAGUUCCGCGACCGUGUCUGAUGCGUUCGCCUAAGCGCUUCCUUUGGGUGUCAGAGAGAAGAACCAAGCUUUGUUAGUUGCAGUCUUGGUGUGGCACACACACCUCAUGAGACGCACUUAUGGAAAAAAGAAACAUCCUACCAUGAGGGGGAAUCUGAAGAUGCUGAAGAGAUGAAUGAAUGCAGUUGAUCUUUCAGCAAGCAAGAGCUUAGUGUUCAAGCAGGUCACAGAAAAAGGCAGAAUCUCCACCUUUCAAAACGCAGAAUCUAAUGAAGCCAAGCCUAGAGGUUGUAUUAUUCUCAUAAUCUGAUACCUGAUAGAAGUUAAUAUGGGAAGUUCAACUGGAGAUAAACAGCAUCCUCCCUCUUCUAAUUCUUGGAACAGUUGCCAUUUGGAGGCUUAUAGAAUUAUCACUGAAUGAUAUCAUGGACAGUCUUUUCAGCUGCACUUUUUAAAAACAUGUAUUUUAUAGUCAUUUUUUAUACCAAUCAAUGAUAAAAGCCAAGGACAUGACUGAAAUCAAUUACUCAAGGAAAACCUUUUAUCCUGGGAAACUGGAAUUUGAGAAUUCACAGGCUUAGAGUCUCUUUCCAUAACUUGCUGUAACUGUGUGGGCUCAUCUUGAUAGAGUCUAUGGCUUCUUGUUGUUUUGAGACACUAAGCUGGCCAUUUAUUGAUCUUCAAGUUCAAUGUGAUUGGUGAAACUAGAGUGAUUAAUCCAUUCAAUCAAAAGUUCAACUAUUUUCCUGCUUUGGUGACAGUGACUUACGGUCCUGCACAGCCAGCCUCCCUAUGUCUGACCCCAAGUGACUGGACCCUCCAGAUGUCAAAGGCUGUUGAGAGGCAACACUGAUGAAGUGCUGGCAAAACACUUUGGAACUCUUACUGACGUGCAAAAAUUAUAUUUAAAGAAAUAUAUGAAAAUCACCUAACUCU